Ictalurus punctatus (channel catfish) is the source of this 1394-nucleotide long non-coding RNA. The record is from Ensembl. Lineage: Eukaryota; Metazoa; Chordata; Actinopteri; Siluriformes; Ictaluridae.
CUCAUCUAUCUUUAAUAUCAGCUCAUUAAACCACUGGUGAUGUUUAUCCUGGUCCAAGCCGACCUGCUCCAUCACUCCUUCCUGGUUCCUGCAUCCAGCUGGUCCUCCAGUAGGGGUUAGUAGUAAUAAGUGGUACAUCAGCCGCUCCCACUCUGGAAUCCAAAUCAGUGUGAGUGUGAUCAUGUGAGUAGUGUGUGUGUAUUGUGUGUGUGUAGUGUGUGUAGUGUGUGUAUUGUGUGUGUGUAGUGUGUGUGUAGUGUGUGUAGUGUAUGUGUAGUUUGUGUAGUGUGUCUGUAGUGUAUGUGUAGUGUGUGUGUAGUGUGUAUGUAUUAUGUGUAGUGUGUGUAGUGUAUGUAUUGUGUGUAGUGUGUGUAGUGUGUAUGUAGUGUGUGUAGUGUGUGUAGUGUAUAUGUAUUGUGUGUAGUGUGCGUAGUGUAUAUGUAUUGUGUGUAGUGUGUGUGUAGUGUGUGUAGUGUGUAUGUAGUCUGUGCGUAGUGUGUAUGUAGUGUGUAUGUAGUUUGUGUAGUGUGUGUAGUGUGUGUGGUGUGUAUGUAGUGUGUGUAGUGUGUGUGUAGUGCAUGUGUAGUGUAUGUGUAGUGUGUGUAGUGUGUGUGGUGUGUAUGUAGUGUGUGUUGUGUGUGUAGUGUGUGUGUAGUGUGUGUGUAGUGUGUGUAGUGUGUGUGUAGUGUGUAUGUAGUGUGUGUAGUGUGUAUGUAGUGUGUGUAGUGUGUGUGUAGUGUGUAUGUAGUGUGUGUAGUGUGUGUGUAGUGUGCAUGUAGUGUGUGUAGUGUGUGUGUAGUGUGUGUAGUGUGUGUGUAGUGUGUAUGUAGUGUGUGUAGUGUGUGUGUAGUGUGUAUGUAGUGUGUGUAGUGUGUAUGUAGUGUGUGUAGUGUGUGUGUAGUGUGUAUGUAGUGUGUAUGUAGUGUGUGUGUAGUGUGUAUGUAGUGUGUGUAGUGUGUAUGUAGUGUGUGUAGUGUGUGUAGUGUGUGUGUAGUGUGCAUGUAGUGUGUGUAGUGUGUGUGUAGUGUGUGUAGUGUAUAUGUAUUGUGUGUAGUGUGUUUAAUGUGUGUGUAGUGUGUAUGUAGUGUGUGUAGUGUGUAUGUAGUGUGUGUAGUGUGUGUGUAGUGUGUAUGUAGUGUGUAUGUAGUGUGUGUGUAGUGUGUAUUGUGUAUGUAGUGUGUAGUGUGUGUGUAGUGUGUAUGUAGUGUGUAUUGUGUGUAGUGUGUAUGUAGUGUGUGUGUAGUGUGUAUGUAGUGUGUGUGUAGUGUGUGUGUAGUGUGUGUGUAGUGUGUAUGUAGUGUGUGUGUAGUGUGUAUGUAGUGUGUGUGUAGUGUGUAUGUAGUGUGUGUAGUGUGUGUGUAGUGUGUAUGUAGUGUGUGUGUAGUGUGUGUGUA